GAAGAACUGGUCAGAUUAUCUCGUAUUUACAAAAAUGCUUUCCUACUUACCUAAGAGCUAAGAGAUUUGAGAAUUGAUUGAGGAAAUAUUCAUUAGACAUUUUUGAGACUUUUAAAAUAUAGAAGCUGAUGUAUGUUAAGACGUUUAAGAAGUUUAAUAUAAAUAGUGUGAAUAAUUCUCAGCUUCACUAUUGGUCAGGGAAAUACAAAUUAAAACCAGUCUUUUGGCUGAAAAGUCCAUAUGCUGAGUGAAAAAUAUGUUGUUUUUAAGACCUGGGUUGGAAAGUUCAUCGACUCUGCAGCAUAGUGAGAGAUUCCAUUCUUGGAACUUGGAAAAAAGGUCCAAGGGAUGUGGAAGUUAGGGGAUAGGUUUAUUGGACAAGAUGUUUAUGAAGUGUUCCUGGGUUCAUAAGAGAUAUGAGUCCUAGAAUGAUACACCCAGUGUUCUUCUGUUAUGGAAGUUCCACUUCCUACUGGUCAUGAAUCUACCGACCCAGCAGAAAAGAAGGCAUAAGACGAAACCAUUCAGCAUCUGCAUGCUUUCUAUUUCUUCCAUUUACUGGAUCUUCCUUGGAUUGUAACUUUAUCCAGUCAGUAUUCCCAAGAAAUACCGUAACAGGAGACCAAAGCAAGGUGAGUAUUGAUACUGAUUUGAUAUACUAGUGUUAGCAUCAGUGAAAUGACUAAGACAGCUUAGAGGAGGUAUCAGGACACAAGCCAGAGUAUAAAAGACAAAAAUUAAAUGAGUUUAAAAAUUCAGUGAAAUGAGUUAUGAAGAUAACCAUUAAGACCUGUGUUGUAGCUAAUUGAGCUUUUUUUUCACUAAAAGUGGCAAAAUAAUCUGUGAGCAUCUUACAAGUUAGGGUAUUUUUGAAACUUCCCCAUGUCAAUUGCCUCUUACAUUAAUAUUAUGCUGUUUCUCU
RNAcentral lists this long non-coding RNA (922 nucleotides) under Equus caballus (horse). Its description in RNAcentral is "lncRNA (ENSECAG00000052881.1)". Lineage: Eukaryota; Metazoa; Chordata; Mammalia; Perissodactyla; Equidae. The record is from RNAcentral.